RNAcentral lists this ribosomal RNA (253 nucleotides) under uncultured bacterium. Its description in RNAcentral is "partial 16S ribosomal RNA". It matches the Rfam family "Bacterial small subunit ribosomal RNA", at positions 524 to 776 of the family's 1533-position model. The record is from RNAcentral.
UACGUAGGGGGCGAGCGUUGUCCGGAAUUAUUGGGCGUAAAGAGCGUGUAGGCUGUUCGGUAAGUCUGCCGUGAAAACCUGAGGCUCAACCUCGGGCGUGCGGUGGAUACUGCCGGGCUAGAGGACGGUAGAGGCGAGUGGAAUUCCCGGUGUAGCGGUGAAAUGCGCAGAUAUCGGGAGGAACACCAGUAGCGAAGGCGAUGCUCUGGGCCGGAACUGACGCUGAGGAGCGAAAGCGUGGGGAGCAAACAGG